CCACCACCCUCUACCGUACUCUAGCUCAGUAGUUUUGGAUGCAGUUCCCAGGUUGAGCCCGGGGAUUUCACAUCCAACUUGCUGAACCACCUACGCGCGCUUUACGCCCAGUAAUUCCGAUUAACGCUUGCACCCUUCGUAUUACCGCGGCUGCUGGCACGAAGUUAGCCGGUGCUUAUUCUGUUGGUAACGUCAAAACAGCAAGGUAUUAACUUACUGCCCUUCCUCCCAACUUAAAGUGCUUUACAAUCCGAAGACCUUCUUCACACACGCGGCAUGGCUGGAUCAGGCUUUCGCCCAUUGUCCAAUAUUCCCCACUGCUGCCUCCCGUAGGAGUCUGGACCGUGUCUCAGUUCCAGUGUGACUGAUCAUCCUCUCAGACCAGUUACGGAUCGUCGCCUUGGUAGGCCUUUACCCCACCAACUAGCUAAUCCGACCUAGGCUCAUCUGAUAGCGUGAGG
RNAcentral lists this ribosomal RNA (461 nucleotides) under Pseudomonas aeruginosa. RNAcentral describes it as "partial 16S ribosomal RNA". Lineage: Bacteria; Pseudomonadati; Pseudomonadota; Gammaproteobacteria; Pseudomonadales; Pseudomonadaceae. The record is from RNAcentral.